UACAGAGGUGGCAAGCGUUGUUCGGAAUUACUGGGCGUAAAGGGCGCGUAGGCGGCCAUCUAAGUCAGACGUGAAAUCCCCCGGCUUAACCUGGGAACUGCGUCCGAUACUGGUGGGCUUGAAUCCGGGAGAGGGAUGCGGAAUUCCAGGUGUAGCGGUGAAAUGCGUAGAUAUCAGGAGGAACACCGGUGGCGAAGGCGGUUCUCUGGGCAUUACCUGACGCUGAGGCACGAAAGCGUGGGGAGCAAACAGG
This 253-nucleotide ribosomal RNA is filed under the name uncultured bacterium. RNAcentral's name for it is "partial 16S ribosomal RNA". It matches the Rfam family "Bacterial small subunit ribosomal RNA", at positions 524 to 776 of the family's 1533-position model. The record is from RNAcentral.